This 18-nucleotide small nuclear RNA is filed under the name Arabidopsis thaliana (thale cress). Its description in RNAcentral is "snRNA_03976". Lineage: Eukaryota; Viridiplantae; Streptophyta; Magnoliopsida; Brassicales; Brassicaceae. The record is from RNAcentral.
AAUUCAACCAAGCGCGGG